Molecule: ribosomal RNA, 618 nt
Filed under: uncultured bacterium
Lineage: Bacteria
Description: bacterial SSU rRNA
Rfam family: Bacterial small subunit ribosomal RNA
Source: RNAcentral
CGAGCCGCGUGUGCGAUGAAGGCCUUCGGGUUGUAAAGCACUGUCGAGAGGGAACAAGCCGCAAGGUUGAGUGACCUCUGGAGGAAGGACGGGCUAAGUUCGUGCCAGCAGCCGCGGUAAGACGAACCGUCCAAACGUUAUUCGGAAUCACUGGGCUUAAAGGGCGCGUAGGCGGGCGAUCAAGUUAGGGGUGAAAUCCUCCAGCUCAACUGGAGAAGUGCCUUUGAUACUGGUUGUCUAGAGUGAGGUAGGGGCAUGUGGAACUUCCAGUGGAGCGGUGAAAUGCGUAGAUAUUGGAAGGAACACCAGUGGCGAAAGCGAUGUGCUGGAUCUCAACUGACGCUGAGGCGCGAAAGCUAGGGGAUCAAACGGGAUUAGAUACCCCGGUAGUCCUAGCCCUAAACUUUGGGUACUAGAUUGUGGACUAACAUGGGUUCACAGUCGAAGCAAAAGUGUUAAGUACCCCGCCUGGGGAGUAUGGUCGCAAGGCUGAAACUCAAAGGAAUUGACGGGGGCUCACACAAGCGGUGGAGCAUGUGGCUUAAUUCGAGGCUACGCGAAGAAACUUAUCCUGGAUUUGACAUGUUCGAAAGAGUUAGGACGUAGGACCCGGAAACG